Lolium perenne is the source of this 3560-nucleotide long non-coding RNA. RefSeq lists it as uncharacterized. The record is from RefSeq and is a predicted model, not a curated record. NCBI's taxonomy places the organism in Eukaryota, Viridiplantae, Streptophyta, Magnoliopsida, Poales, Poaceae.
UGGCUAGUUAAAACAUUUAAUUUUGAAAACAUAAAAUUAUUUUGAGUCCCAACGUCAUCACUCCCUCGCCGUCGUCCUUCCCUGCUGCUGCUCCUCCAGCUCGACCACUUCACCUCCGACCAUGACGAGCUCUGCCCUCUCCGUCGCGAGCGGUGGCGGCGCAUCUCAGCGGAGGUUCCAGGAAGAUGCAGGUCCGUGCUCUCCUCUUCUCCGCCGACCCCAGCCGCUAUUUCCAGCCGCCGCAGGCGCCUCCAGUCCCCGCCGCAGCCGCCUCUCGGCCUCUGAUUAGCCCAGCUGGGCGAGGCCGUGGCAACACAGAAGGACGCCGCCGUACUAAUUGAUGACGAGGCAAAACCCUAGGCCGUGAACAUGUGCGAGUUCAAUAAGCCCCAGAUGCGAGCCAACUAUGGGAGGCACACAACUCCGGUCCAAGCUUCAGCAUCCGUGCUGCUGCAUCAGCCAUUUACCGGCCGCACUGCGUGUACUUGUCACCGCAGGUCACCUCUCCAGCCAUCUGCAAGGUAAGUCAUGCCUAAUGCCUUAUCUCUUCACUGGAGCUUGCUAGUCUUCACUUGUUCUUGCCAAUACUGCUUGCUAUUUUAAUGCUUGUGGAUACAGGUAAAGAUAGUCAUGAAUAUGUCCAGAUUGUUAACUCGGUUACCUCCCAUCUGGCAUCUGGGGGCAGAGGCAUGUCUGACAAUUCAAACAACAAAGUUUAUGUUAGCCUGGUGCUAUCUCCUACACCACGGAGGAAGUACUAUUGAACAUUGGAAGUCUGAGAGUGCACUGCAUAUUAUUUGGUGUGAAAAGGAAUAGAGUGAAGACUUGAAGAAGAUCAUGCAAUCAGUCAACACUCAUCAAUGAAAAAAGGAGCCAGGAGGCAGUAGGGCACUAUUUUUGUGGAUUUGUCCAUAUAUUAUAGAGGAUGGUGCACUACUGAAUACAAUCAGCGGCUAUCUCCUGUUGGAUUUCUUCUCAUCCGACAUAUGAGGUCCAUUUUAUGGAUCAGUUCUCUGUGUGGCAGUAAUUCAAGGCUAAAUAUGUAGCAUAUUUCUUCAAUGCAUGAAAAAUAUUUCCUUUUGCCUUUUUAUGUUUGUACAUUCAGAGAAAACUUCAUACAUUUAUUGCUGAAUUUGCUAGAUUUCUUUUACGCGAAAAUAUAAUUUGGUUUUAUUUUACUUUUCAUGUAUAUAGUUUGUGGCAAUAACUGGUGAAUAGUAACAUGUUGGUAUUGUCAAAGUUCUGGAUAAAAAACUUUAGGAUACCUAUCAUUUUAAUUUACCUUGCUAGAUUAGGCUGAUUAGUAUUGUUGUUUUCUUGCAGGUGCACUUUUCAAGGUUUAUAUUAUUCUAAUUUGCGGUUUUUUUUUCUGGUGUAAAAAAGCAAUUAUCAGAAUGGUUUGCGGAAGUUGAGUAGUCAGUUUAGCCUCCGCAAUUCAUGUGUUUUCUUUAUGUUCUGUCAUGCACACAAGAUUACCUUUCCUGAAUUUAGCUCCAACCGACAGUAAGUACUGCAUCUAGCUUUAAUAAUUUUGCAAUUUAUGUAUUGAAGGAGAUUAAGAAGUUUCUAAUUCAUGAUUACCUCAUUCGUUUCUCUCGAAUUCCAUUUACUUGCGAGGUCAACAUGCUUUCUGUUUUUCCUUCUUAAAUAGUUAUGAUGCUAUACUCAUAUUUUUUAUAUUUAGCCAAAGAAAUCACAGCAGCUCUCACCUUGCCCGCUAAAAAUGGUUGGUUAUGUCUCUCACUAAAUAAGGCAUAUCCCUCCUUGGGUGUUAUUUGGUGCGAUGGAAUACAUGCCCAGCAACGGUGCAAAAAGAAAUGAACUUGGACUGUGGCUAGCUAAUAUAUCUGUUGUAGAUCUGCGAUUUGUAGUGUUACAACAAAUAUAUGCAGUGGUACAUCCUAAAGUUACGAAAACUCAUAAACACAAGAUAUACCACUUUGCUUCAUCGCUGCAAAUGUCUACCGUCAUAUGCUUUUUCAUACAGAACUUAGUUUUCUAUAUUGUAUAACCUAGUAGUCCUAAUUUAGGUGCGGUUACUGUCUUCUGCUAUUUUUGAUCUUCAAUUGAUAAGUGACCAACCAUCAUAUGGUCAAUAUAAUGCCCUAAUUUUUAUGCAUGUUCUCAUUUAUGAUUUACGACAGUAAAAAGACAGAUCAAGUCUAGGAACAUAUAUCUCUGUUAAGUAUUCCUACUCUUGCCAUUUAUAUACGAGGGGUUGUUGCAGAAACAAAUUGUUUUCACUAGAUUGUUAUGUGUGAUUUGGCACUUUAUAUUUGUAGUACUAAUUCAUGUUGAGUUUAGUAGGUUCAUUUCCAUGUAGAGAGGUGAAUACUUACAUACUAAGUUCAUUUUUCCAAUAACCACUAUUUCUACCUCAUGAUUAAACAUUGUUUUCUGAAGCUUUACUGUCAACACUACAGAUGUAAGUACCAGACUGAACAUUUAUGUCAGGUACUGUUUAAUAUACUAAGUGAUCCCAGACCGAUUGCAUGAAGACAAUCGUUAGAACUUCUUGAAAAAAAAGAAAGCUUUCUCCUCUCAGCCCUUUAGAUAUACUUGGCUCAACUUAGUAAUAGAAUAUCUGAAACUACCUCCUCCUUAUGCACAAUAAUUGCCUAAAGCUUCCUUCCUAAAAUACUCUAAAUUUUAACAGUGCUUAUGCAUAUUUUGCUUCCAAAAACUUAACUAAGACUCAGUACUGUAGAGUGGGUCUGCUUUCUGGCUGAAGCGUUUUCCAGCUUUGCUACGACUUUUCUGAAAAUAUCCCAUUACUCCUACUAACUACUACUUUUCUUUUGAUUAUACUGAGUUACUAGGUGUAUUAUUGCUCCCACUAUUCCAGACUAUUUAGAUUUUGGAACUGUGAAUAUAAUACGGGAAGUACGAAGCAAGAUAAUGUGCUCAACUUUUCUCUCUGAUUUAUUUUGUUAACAUCUAUGAUUGCUCGACAUGGUUCCCUUCAAAGAUGUUUCUCAUCAACAAGCAAUUUUCUGUUAUUUUGCGUGUAAUGUUUUGGUUCUCUUUGAUUUGCGACUGCUGUAUGUAAUAUUUUUCCUUACAUUCUCCAUGUCUACUUAUUCACGGACUACUUAUCAUUAAGUUGUAUUCGUGCUUAACAUAUUGUUUCAUAAGCCGCUUACUAUGUGAACGGCGGGGUCAUGUGUUAGUAGGCUUCAUAAUGAACUAGGCUUUGCAGUUGCAUGAGGCAAGCCAUUUUCUCUGUCGUGUUGGCAUCAGGUAGCUGUACCUGGUGUUGUUGUCACAAUAUCAUCUACUUACAUGUUUCAGUCAAGAAGUUGCUCCUCAAGUAUAUAUGCAGUUAAUUUUUUUUGUAUGCAUGUUAAAUGAAAUCUGAUUCCCCGUUGUUGUGUUUUACCCAUCAGAUCAGUUUCCACUGAUGAGGGAGAGUUCUUCGGAUGUGUUCUUAUCCUACUGAGCUUUGUGGUGACUAGCAUUAUUCUAUUGUAUGUUUUGUUCUCGUCAUUGCUGAAAUGUUGCUAAACUGGCAUGAGAUUGUUUCUUUCCUUUGACAACAAAGGGACUAUAGAUUUGGCUCA